ACAAAACAAAUCAAACAAACAAACAAAAACAUCCUAGGCAAGUCAAGAUUCAGUCUGGGAAGGAGGAAGCCUCGAUGGAGUAACCAUGAGGCUGGCACAACUGCUUCUGUUCUUGGCUUUCUCAUGCGUCCCGAGCAUCACACUUCUGCCAUACAGUGUAUUUAUACAUGUUCUGUGAUCAAGACAGAACUUAAAAGGACCUCUGAAAAUGUGAGAGAGCAGCAAUUUAAGAUGAGACUCAAACAAGGCUGGAGACAUCCUGGAGGUAAAGUCCUGGGGAACGACGGAGUUGUCCAGACUGCCUCCCCAGGUAUAAUCUUAAAAUUUGGAUAUGCUCCUGCAGACAGCAGAUCUACAGGCUCUCUGCUCAACUAAUACUUCUAGAAUGACCUACCAACACACCCACCACAUUGUCAUAAAGUGAUGAUGGUGGGUCUGCAGCUUCACUUUCUGGGAACAGUCACUGCUUUUUACAUAUGUGUGAAUCUACAUAGGAUGCAGCAUGCCCAGUUCAUCUGAUAUUUGACGACAGAAAGGACCAGUGCGUACUUGGAAGCUUGAGUGAAUGCUGAAAGAUACAGGAGUGACCCAGACUCUGUCAAUCACUUUUGCUUUUAGGGUUCAAAUUGCACUCUAUACAUGAUAUUUUUUAGUUUGACUGGGGAAAAAGAGUGCUUAAGAAUAUUCUGGCUACUGGACAAUUGUGAAAAUCAGAAGCUAGUAAAGGAGAUCAAGAGCUUUGAAAUAGCUAAUCUCAGGGAUAAACUUCCAGUUAAAGACAGGUACACACACCAAACUUGUGAUAGCAGCCCCAAACAUAAGUGAAUGAGUAAGAAGAUCCACACAGAGAUUGCUCUUUUCUGCCCAAUACUGCCUCUGGAAUGCACCUCUGAUAACCUAGUGCAGUCUUGGGCAGGCACCUGCAUACACAAGACUUAUCUAUUUGGUUGUGUGCUCAUGGGGAGGAUGUGAGAGUGUGAAAUACAAUAUUCAGCACCUCUGUCAAACACAAGUUGUUCCUUGAAAUGACAGUUUUUAUGGAACUGUGAUGAAUGCUGUUUGUAGUACAAAGUAUUUUCUAUGGAAACAUAACCCUGAAUUACAAUGAAAUAACUUGCAUUAAAAAACUGUAAGCCAUG
This is a long non-coding RNA of Peromyscus californicus insignis, 1139 nucleotides long. RefSeq lists it as uncharacterized. The record is from RefSeq and is a predicted model, not a curated record. Lineage: Eukaryota; Metazoa; Chordata; Mammalia; Rodentia; Cricetidae. The transcript is spliced from 3 exons.